CCUACGGGAGGCAGCAGUGGGGAAUUUUGGACAAUGGGCGAAAGCCUGAUCCAGCAAUGCCGCGUGAGUGAAGAAGGCCUUCGGGUUGUAAAGCUCUUUUGUCAGGGAAGAAACGGUGGGAGCUAAUAUCUCUUGCUAAUGACGGUACCUGAAGAAUAAGCACCGGCUAACUACGUGCCAGCAGCCGCGGUAAUACGUAGGGUGCAAGCGUUAAUCGUAAUUACUGGGCGUAAAGCGUGCGCAGGCGGUUUUGUAAGUCUGAUGUGAAAUCCCCGGGCUCAACCUGGGAAUUGCAUUGGAGACUGCAAGGCUAGAAUCUGGCAGAGGGGGGUAGAAUUCCACGUGUAGCAGUGAAAUGCGUAGAUAUGUGGAGGAACACCGAUGGCGAAGGCAGCCCCCUGGGUCAAGAUUGACGCUCAUGCACGAAAGCGUGGGGAGCAAACAGGAUUAGAUACCCUGGUAGUCCACGCCCUAAACGAUGUCUACUAGUUGUCGGGUCUUAAUUGACUUGGUAACGCAGCUAACGCGUGAAGUAGACCGCCUGGGGGAGGUACGGUCGCGAGAAGUUAAACGUAACUAAUAGAAGUUAGUACGGACGUGAGACGUUAGCCGACGGACGACGACGAGGGAGGAGGG
This 636-nucleotide ribosomal RNA is filed under the name uncultured bacterium. RNAcentral describes it as "bacterial SSU rRNA". The stretch from base 1 to 542 matches the Rfam family "Bacterial small subunit ribosomal RNA", at positions 338 to 873 of the family's 1533-position model. The record is from RNAcentral.